UGACUAUGUAAACCAAUUUUAAAGAUUAGUGUUGCUUUUCUUUGUUUUCCAUUAUAUGCUUAAUCACGACACGUGAGCUUUUUCUGCAGCCCAUUCUUGUUGAAUCUGGCAGCUUAACAAACGUGAUGCUUUUCGCCAUGUAAAGUUCAGAGAUUGGACACGAAACAGCGUUCAUUCUUGGUAAAUGUGGCUGCUUACAAUAGUUGAUAGUCCUUUCUAUAUGAAGGUUACUGAUGAAACAGCUUCGUAUGUGAAAAGCGGUUCUAAGCCGAUGGUUCUCUGCUUUAUGUGGAGCCUUGUUUUCUUUUUGUGAAAUGAGAGAUGCACAUCUUUUCUAUUUCUAAGAGAACGUUGUAUGUACUUUACAAGGCAGCAUCUCCUGUGAGUAAUUCCGUCAAUACGAAUGUAAUGGUACGAAGGAGCUUUAAAUACGAAUGAUGAGAGUCAGAGAAGAGCCGUAAGUUGAACUACCCUCAAUGGUUUGCCAUGUGAAUGAGUUUUUCCUGAACAAGGUUCUCUUGACGACUGACGAGUCUGUUUCUGCCUGAAGAAUAGCGAGAAUACGAUACACUUCUCACUACUGAUUCUCCAUAUAAUGUUCGACGAAUCUCUCUGUUUGUUGGAAGAUCAUUUCGACGGUCUCCUUUUUCUUCAUCACCUAGAUUAGUCUUUUACUUGUGAGUGUGAGUUUCCUGGUUAUGGUUAUGGAACAGAUUCUAUUGUAAGAAACACCUUUACGCUUGGCUUUGGAGAACAGCUUAUCCCCCUCUCCCCCUUCCAUUGUAGACACUGUUCUGUUCAUUUUAAUGUACUCUUAUUAAAUUUGGAAGCAAAACUUUCUCUUUUGAGCCUUAA
Molecule: non-coding RNA, 855 nt
Organism: Camelina sativa (false flax)
Lineage: Eukaryota; Viridiplantae; Streptophyta; Magnoliopsida; Brassicales; Brassicaceae
Source: RefSeq, a predicted model, not a curated record